GCUUUCCUUGUCUUGGGGUGAGGUGGGUAACUCAAUGAACGUUUAGUGAGAGUUCCCCUGCUAACACCAAAGCAACACACGCGCAUCAUCUGAACCACAAAUUCAGAUCAUGGUGCAAUUUUUGGAAAC
This is a small nuclear RNA of Lampris incognitus (smalleye Pacific opah), 129 nucleotides long. RefSeq annotates it as U4atac minor spliceosomal RNA. Lineage: Eukaryota; Metazoa; Chordata; Actinopteri; Lampriformes; Lampridae. The record is from RefSeq and is a predicted model, not a curated record. The transcript has a single exon.